Long non-coding RNA from Oncorhynchus keta (chum salmon), 316 nucleotides. RefSeq lists it as uncharacterized. Lineage: Eukaryota; Metazoa; Chordata; Actinopteri; Salmoniformes; Salmonidae. The transcript has 3 exons. The record is from RefSeq and is a predicted model, not a curated record.
CUCGUGAAGCUGGUUGCGAGAAUGCCAAACAUUUGUAAAUCUGUCAUCUAGGCAAAAGAUUUGCCAAGGCCCCUUUCUCUUGUGGACAUCUACUUAUGAGGAGGUCACCAGACUGCUGAUUAUUACGCACACCUCUCACCAUCGUCACGCGCACCGGCGCUUAUUGACCCUCACCUGGACUCAAUCACCUCCUUGAUUACCUGCCCUAUUUAUGUCACUGCCUUUGGUUCCUUCCCCAGGCGUUAUUGUUUCUGUUUCAUGUCAGUUUGCUGUUAGUGAUUCUGGUUUUGGUCAUGUUUGUUUAUUAAUUAAAUGU